Cucumis sativus (cucumber) is the source of this 643-nucleotide long non-coding RNA. RefSeq lists it as uncharacterized. Lineage: Eukaryota; Viridiplantae; Streptophyta; Magnoliopsida; Cucurbitales; Cucurbitaceae. The transcript has 2 exons. The record is from RefSeq and is a predicted model, not a curated record.
CUAAAGGAAUGGAUUGGGCCAUUCAAUUUCUUUUCUUCUCUAUUCCAUUUCCUUUCCCUCUCCCUACUCCUUUGACUGUGGACCAAACAUGUUUGUUAUUCUUGUUAAUAAAACCAUUCGAUUCAUCUACCAAGGGCAAUUAGUCAACUAAAUUAUCAAUCAUGCAUCAGAUCAUUCCGCAACAUUAUACCGAACUCCAAGAAAAAGAGCCUGAGACGCAGUGUGCAAACUCAAACUCUAGACCCUCGUUCUGAUUCUGACGGCCACAGAAAAGGAAAACACAAAAGAAAGUAUUGUUUGCUUUCCAACUUCAAAAGACUCUUUUCAUGGUGUGUGAAAGAAAUUCAGGGAAGGGACCCCUGCCGAAAUGAAUUUUGGCUCUUUACUCUGAAAGUUGAACCCUUAUCCUCACGCUCACGGGGAAGGUUUAAAUAUAUUUUCUUUUAAUCAGAGAGCAAACUGAAUAUCAAGACUCUAGAAUUGUUUUUCAUAGUGGCACGAACAUGUGCUUAAAAUGAGAUUUGACCUUUGCUUGUUUGUAACUAAUAAAUUUAAGGUCAAUAUGCCAGUCUUAAAUUCUAGGGGUAACAAUUGAUUUAAUUUUAUAUAAACAGGGCAGUGAAAAACUAUUAAGUUUUACUCA